UUGGAGGGCAAGUCUGGUGCCAGCAGCCGCGGUAAUUCCAGCUCCAAUAGCGUAUAUUAAAGUUGCUGCAGUUAAAAAGCUCGUAGUUGAAUUUCGGGACCAUCAUGUCGGUCGUGCCUCGGUACGUACUGGUAUUGUUGGUUUCUCCCUUCUGACGAACCAUGAUGUCAUUUAUUUGGUGUUGUGGGGAAUCAGGACUGUUACUUUGAAAAAAUUAGAGUGUUUAAAGCAGGCUCACGCUUGAAUACAUUAGCAUGGAAUAAUGAGAUAGGACGUUUGAUUCUAUUUUGUUGGUUUCUAGGAUCGACGUAAUGAUUAAUAGGGAUAGUUGGGGGCAUUAGUAUUCAAUUGUCAGAGGUGAAAUUCUUGGAUUUAUUGAAGACUAACUACUGCGAAAGCAUUUGCCAAGGAUGUUUUCAUUAAUCAAGAACGAAAGUUAGGGGAUCGAAGACGAUCAGAUACCGUCGUAGUCUUAACCAUAAACUAUGCCGACUAGGGAUCGGAUGAUGUUAAUUUUUUAAUGACUCAUUCGGCGCCUUACGGGAAAC
This 548-nucleotide ribosomal RNA is filed under the name uncultured Glomeromycotina. RNAcentral describes it as "SSU rRNA". It matches the Rfam family "Eukaryotic small subunit ribosomal RNA", at positions 548 to 1098 of the family's 1831-position model. The record is from RNAcentral. Lineage: Eukaryota; Fungi; Glomeromycota.